GAUGAACGCUGGCGGCGUGCCUAACACAUGCAAGUCGAGCGAACAGACGAGGCGCUUGCUCCGCUGACGUUACCGGCGGAUGGGUGAGUAACACGAGGCUAACCGACCUAUAAGAAUGGGAUAACGUCGGGAGACCGGAGAUAACACAGGAUAAGAUAGUGAAACGGAGGGUUCAAUAGUGAUAGACGGAUUUGCUGUCACUUAUACAUGGAUCCGCGCCGCAUUAGCUAGUUGGUAGGGUAACGGCUUACCAAGGCGACGAUGCGUAGCCGAUCUGAGAGGAUGAUCGGCCACACUGGAACUGAGACACGGUCCAGACUCCUACGGGAGGCAGCAGUAGGGAAUCUUCCGCAAUGGGCGAAAGCCUGACGCAGCAACGCCGCGUGAGUGAUGAAGGUCUUCGGAUCGUAAAGCUCUGUUAUUAGGGAGGAACAAAUGUGAGAGUAACUAUGGCCGUCUUGACGGUACCUAAUCAAAAAGCCACGGCUAACUACGUG
Molecule: ribosomal RNA, 497 nt
Filed under: uncultured bacterium
Lineage: Bacteria
Description: partial 16S ribosomal RNA
Rfam family: Bacterial small subunit ribosomal RNA
Source: RNAcentral